GACGAACGCUGGCGGCGUGCCUAAUACAUGCAAGUAGAACGCUGAAGGAGGAGCUUGCUUCUCUGGAUGAGUUGCGAACGGGUGAGUAACGCGUAGGUAACCUGCCUGGUAGCGGGGGAUAACUAUUGGAAACGAUAGCUAAUACCGCAUAAGAGUAGAUGUUGCAUGACAUUUGCUUAAAAGGUGCAAUUGCAUCACUACCAGAUGGACCUGCAUUGUAUUAGCUAGUUGGUGGGGUAACGGCUCACCAAGGCGACGAUACAUAGCCGACCUGAGAGGGUGAUCGGCCACACUGGGACUGAGACACGGCCCAGACUCCUACGGGAGGCAGCAGUAGGGAAUCUUCGGCAAUGGACGGAAGUCUGACCGAGCAACGCCGCGUGAGUGAAGAAGGUUUUCGGAUCGUAAAGCUCUGUUGUAAGAGAAGAACGAGUGUGAGAGUGGAAAGUUCACACUGUGACGGUAUCUUACCAGAAAGGGACGGCUAACUACGUG
Molecule: ribosomal RNA, 495 nt
Filed under: uncultured bacterium
Lineage: Bacteria
Description: partial 16S ribosomal RNA
Rfam family: Bacterial small subunit ribosomal RNA
Source: RNAcentral